RNAcentral lists this ribosomal RNA (373 nucleotides) under uncultured bacterium. RNAcentral's name for it is "bacterial SSU rRNA". It matches the Rfam family "Bacterial small subunit ribosomal RNA", at positions 29 to 429 of the family's 1533-position model. The record is from RNAcentral.
AACGAACGCUGGCGGCAGGCCUAAUACAUGCAAGUCGAACGCUCGUAGCAAUACGAGAGUGGCAGACGGGUGAGUAACACGUGGGAACCUUCCCUAUGGUUCGGAAUAGCUCAGGGAAACUUGAGGUAAUACCGGAUAAGCCCUUACGGGGAAAGAUUUAUCGCCAUUGGAUGGGCCCGCGUCGGAUUAGCUAGUUGGUGGGGUAACGGCCUACCAAGGCGACGAUCCGUAGCUGGUCUGAGAGGAUGAUCAGCCACACUGGGACUGAGACACGGCCCAGACUCCUACGGGAGGCAGCAGUAGGGAAUAUUGGACAAUGGGCGCAAGCCUGAUCCAGCCAUGCCGCGUGAGUGACGAAGGCCUUGGUUGUAAG